Molecule: ribosomal RNA, 622 nt
Filed under: Alnicola umbrina
Lineage: Eukaryota; Fungi; Basidiomycota; Agaricomycetes; Agaricales; Hymenogastraceae
Description: eukaryotic LSU rRNA
Rfam family: 5.8S ribosomal RNA (bases 232-385)
Source: RNAcentral
UUGGUGUGGUUGUUGCUGGCCCUCUCGGGGGCAUGUGCACACCCACCAUCCUCAUCUCUCCACCUGUGCACCUCUUGUAGACCUGGAUUGACUUUCCGAGGCAACUCGGUCGGGAAGAUUGCUGCGCUCUGUGARCCAGCUUUCUUUGCAUGUCCAGGCCUAUGUUUUUCAUAUACCCCUAUAGAAUGUAACAGAAUGUAUCAUUGGGCCUUGUGCCUAUAAACCUUAUACAACUUUCAGCAACGGAUCUCUUGGCUCUCGCAUCGAUGAAGAACGCAGCGAAAUGCGAUAAGUAAUGUGAAUUGCAGAAUUCAGUGAAUCAUCGAAUCUUUGAACGCACCUUGCGCUCCUUGGUAUUCCGAGGAGCAUGCCUGUUUGAGUGUCAUUAAAUUCUCAACCUUAUUAACUUUUGUUGAUAAUGGAUUGGAUUGUGGGGGUUUCUUUUGCUGGCUUCUUCACAGAGAUCAGCUCCCCUUAAAUGCAUUAGCUGGUGCCCCGCGUGGACCAUCUAUUGGUGUGAUAAUUAUCUACGCCGUGGAUGUCUGCAAUYAUAUGGGUUUCGCACUGCUUCUAACCGUCUGUUCAUUCGGACAAUACAUGACGAUUUGACCUCAAAUCAGUA